Molecule: non-coding RNA, 72 nt
Organism: Phrynosoma platyrhinos (Desert horned lizard)
Lineage: Eukaryota; Metazoa; Chordata; Lepidosauria; Squamata; Phrynosomatidae
Source: the annotation of a GenBank genome assembly
GCCAAAAUGGUGUGAUGGUUUGAGUGUUGGAUUGUGACUCUGGAGACCAGGGUUCAAACCCCUGCUCAGCCA